GAGCUUUUGAACAACAUGAAGAGGUAGCGAAGAAGGGGGCCCUUCUUUCCUUGGCGGUACCGCCUCCUCACGACGUCGCGCCUGGACGACCUCACCUAGCCGGGACUGCAGAGUCGUACGCAGAAGCCGGCGGAACUGGUGGGGCGGCUGGAGCAGGCGCGGCGGCGACAGAGGUCUUGGACCGCGUCUACGCACCAGCUCUCGCCGAACUCGUUCUCGGAAACGGACGCCGACACGGGGCUCCAGCGGUGGCAGCGGCGCCGCCGUCUCCACCGGUCUAGCGGCGGAAGUUGGCGGCGGGUACUUAGUCCGGUGCUCUCCCUGAUGUCCUAUAUGAGGUUGGAGCGGCCGCGGAUGCAGAGGCUGAGGCGGCGGUUCGGGAGGCGCCUUACGUAGAACCUGACGUAGCCCCGGAGGUCGUGGCUGCUGAAGGGUCGUCUCUGGUACCUUUUGUGGGAGCUGCUCCUCCUCUAAUAGUUAAAGGCGGGCAGGAUAACCAGCUCGCCGCCCCGCCUGCUGGGCCUCCGCGGCCUCUCGGAAUGGAUGUCCGAGUUGAGACUGUAGACGUAACAGCUACUCUAAGCCCACGCCGGCAUGGUUCGGAAAAAAGUCCUACCACUGGGAUAUAUGAGAAGUUUCCACCACGCUAAAGCCUACCCGGUAAUGUUCGAAGGCGCUCCUAGUCUCUGCAAACAUUACCUACUAAUACUCUUAUUCUACCAUUUACGACUACUUUUUAUGUACACCUGAAUGUGAAGCGGUCUCAAGGGAUACAAUGUCUUUUUGCUUGAUGUUAGGAAGUUCGAGGGUGCGGGGCAGGAAACGUAACCACCACACCACUACUAACUUGAGAACCCGUCUCAUGUCUUUGUUCUUCGUCUACUAUCCAUGAUGUAUACGCAAACGGUACGACUUCACUACCCCGCAAGUGAGAGUGGUGAAAAGUACCAACUUUAGAGCCUAGGACUUCCAAUAAGUUAGGAGUUCAUGAAUGGCCCACGGUUUCUGGAUAGGUAGCUACUGAAAAACGUUCUACUAUGGUUUCUGAGCGGCCUCACCGUGAUAGAACAACCAUCUAUGUCCGUCUACUUAGUGUCUCGUCAUCAUCACUCACGUGAAAACCUCGGACAUGUAAUGUACGUACUACAUCCACCGUAGAGUCUGCUACUAGUACUUCUACUACAUCCACCGUAGAGUCUGCUACUAGUACUCCUACUACAUCCACCGUAGAGUCUGCUACUAAUAGAACUCAUCUAAACGCACGACCUGACGUCGAUGUUGAGACGGCACCAAAAUGAGAAACAUCAAAUCACUUGUGGAGACUUGAGACGUUCGGAAACAACGUUUGUAAAGACUUCGGAGACAAGAGCUUGGAUCUCCUGGACUAGCUCUGUUCAACGAGAAUGCCAGACGUUGAGACGAGUUCGAACGAGCACAAAAGAGAACACAAAAACAAAUCACCACUCAUAAACAGUAUAUAAUGAGAAGUUUAUUUACGGCAAACGCCUACCUAAUGACUUAGAAUACCGUGUGAUACUUAAGUACUAUAACAUCUGAAUGACAUAUAUAUACGACUUACGUAAGAUUAGCAGC
RNAcentral lists this ribosomal RNA (1593 nucleotides) under Triticum aestivum (bread wheat). RNAcentral describes it as "partial small subunit ribosomal RNA". The record is from RNAcentral. Lineage: Eukaryota; Viridiplantae; Streptophyta; Magnoliopsida; Poales; Poaceae.